AUACGGAGGAUGCGAGCGUUAUCCGGAUUUAUUGGGUUUAAAGGGAGCGUAGGUGGGAUAUUAAGUCAGCUGUGAAAGUUUGGGGCUCAACCUUAAAAUUGCAGUUGAUACUGGUUUCCUUGAGUACGGUACAGGUGGGCGGAAUUCGUGGUGUAGCGGUGAAAUGCUUAGAUAUCACGAAGAACUCCGAUCGCGAAGGCAGCUCACCGGGCCGGAACUGACACUGAUGCUCGAAAGUGCGGGUAUCAAACAGGAUUAGAUACCCUGGUAGUCCGCACAGUAAACGAUGAAUACUCGCUGUUUGCGAUAUACAGUAAGCGGCCAAGCGAAAGCAUUAAGUAUUCCACCUGGGGAGUACGCCGGCAACGGUGAAACUCAAAGGAAUUGACGGGG
Molecule: ribosomal RNA, 393 nt
Filed under: uncultured bacterium
Lineage: Bacteria
Description: partial 16S ribosomal RNA
Rfam family: Bacterial small subunit ribosomal RNA
Source: RNAcentral